RNAcentral lists this ribosomal RNA (507 nucleotides) under Triticum aestivum (bread wheat). Its description in RNAcentral is "partial small subunit ribosomal RNA". Lineage: Eukaryota; Viridiplantae; Streptophyta; Magnoliopsida; Poales; Poaceae. The record is from RNAcentral.
AUGACCCACAAACCUGAUGCUCCCUUCUUGAAUAACCCAAUUGAGCACUACCAUGCCAUGGCGACCAUUUUUGGAACAACCGGGGCUAAGGGGAUGAAUGCAAGGUCUGGAAAUGAUCUCCUCUCUAUUGAUGUUGAUGAUGAGGAGAAUGGUGAGGUGAAUGGUGAGAUCAACAUGUCACCACAAGUUGGUGAGUCUGCUCACCCCAAAGGACCACCAAAAAAGAAGGCCAAGGUGGUGAAAGUUCUAGAGGAUCCACUAGGUGCCAUUCUCAAAGAUGGGUUUAAACUUGUUGCUGAAGCUCUUGUGAAAUCUGGUGGAGAUGAUGAUGAUAUACCCGAUGAUCUUUCAGAUGUAGUCUCCAAUUUGAAAGAAUUUGAUGAAGAGCACCUUGCCCACUACUAUGCUCAUCUUGUUGACAACCCCAAGACCGCAAGAGCCUUCAUGAAACUCUCUGAAACCAACAAAUCUAUUUGGGUGAGUAGGUAUGUGAAGAAAAACUUCUAA